Molecule: ribosomal RNA, 253 nt
Filed under: uncultured archaeon
Lineage: Archaea
Description: partial 16S ribosomal RNA
Rfam family: Archaeal small subunit ribosomal RNA
Source: RNAcentral
UACUUGCGCCCCGAGUGGUAUCCAGUAUUAGUUGGUCUAAAGCGUCCGUAGCCGGUCUUGUUAGUCCCUAGUGAAAUCUGCUGGAAAACUGGCAGGCUUGCUGGGGAUACUGCAAGACUUGGGACUGGGAGAGGGUAGAGGUACUACUAGGGAAGGGGUAAAAUCCUAUAAUCCUAGUGGGACCACCGGUGGCGAAGGCGUCUACCUGGAACAGGUCCGACGGUGAGGGACGAAACCUAGGGGAGCGAUCGGG